RNAcentral lists this ribosomal RNA (440 nucleotides) under uncultured bacterium. RNAcentral's name for it is "partial 16S ribosomal RNA". It matches the Rfam family "Bacterial small subunit ribosomal RNA", at positions 338 to 795 of the family's 1533-position model. The record is from RNAcentral.
CCUACGGGUGGCAGCAGUGGGGAAUAUUGCACAAUGGGGGAAACCCUGAUGCAGCGACGCAGCGUGAGUGAAGAAGUAUUUCGGUACGUAAAGCUCUAUUAGCAGGGAAGAAAAUGUCGGUACCUGACUAAGUAGCCCCGGCGAAAUACGUGCCAGCAGCCGCGGUAAUACGUAGGGGGCAAGCGUUAUCCGGAUGUACUGGGUGGAAAGGGAGCGUAGAUGGGAGCGCAAGUCUGGAGUGAAAUCCCAUGGCUUAACCAUGGAACUGCUUUGGAAACUGUGCAGCUAGAGUGCAGGAGAGGUAAGCGGAAUUCCGAGUGUAGCGGUGAAAUGCGUAGAUAUUAGGAAGAACACCAGUGGCGAAGGCAGCUUACUGGACUGUUACUGACGUUGAGGCACGAAAGCGUGGGUAUCAAACAGGAUUAGAUACCCUAGUAGUC